AAGUCGUAACAAGGUUUCCGUAGGUGAACCUGCGGAAGGAUCAUUAUUACGUUAUCCAACGUCAAACCCAAAUUGUGAAAUGUUUGAUCGGAGGUUUAAGAGGUGGGGAUGCAAAGGCGUUCAUGACCACAUUGUGGGCCUUUGUUCCUACUUGAUUCAGUUCAAGUCAACAUCAUUAAACUUCUGUUUUAGAAAUUCCCGUCAUGAACAAUUUCGCCAAAUUUUAAUUAACCCCAAGUACACUUUAUUGAACUAAAACUCUGUUAACUUCUUUGCGCAAGCAUCGUGGUUAAUCGAAAAACCGAAAAUAAGAAAACAACUCUUAACAACGGAUAUCUUGGUUCUC
RNAcentral lists this unclassified non-coding RNA (346 nucleotides) under fungal sp. Its description in RNAcentral is "partial internal transcribed spacer region". The stretch from base 1 to 46 matches the Rfam family "Eukaryotic small subunit ribosomal RNA", at positions 1786 to 1831 of the family's 1831-position model. The record is from RNAcentral. Lineage: Eukaryota; Fungi.